Molecule: non-coding RNA, 42 nt
Filed under: Trypanosoma brucei brucei
Lineage: Eukaryota; Euglenozoa; Kinetoplastea; Trypanosomatida; Trypanosomatidae
Source: RNAcentral
AUCAUAAUACAAGGCAAUGACGACGAGAAGAUUUAGAUUAAU